This 468-nucleotide ribosomal RNA is filed under the name Escherichia coli. RNAcentral describes it as "partial 23S ribosomal RNA". It matches the Rfam family "Bacterial large subunit ribosomal RNA", at positions 1 to 508 of the family's 2925-position model. Lineage: Bacteria; Pseudomonadati; Pseudomonadota; Gammaproteobacteria; Enterobacterales; Enterobacteriaceae. The record is from RNAcentral.
GGUUAAGCGACUAAGCGUACACGGUGGAUGCCCUGGCAGUCAGAGGCGAUGAAGGACGUGCUAAUCUGCGAUAAGCGUCGGUAAGGUGAUAUGAACCGUUAUAACCGGCGAUUUCCGAAUGGGGAAACCCAGUGUGUUUCGACACACUAUCAUUAACUGAAUCCAUAGGUUAAUGAGGCGAACCGGGGGAACUGAAACAUCUAAGUACCCCGAGGAAAAGAAAUCAACCGAGAUUCCCCCAGUAGCGGCGAGCGAACGGGGAGCAGCCCAGAGCCUGAAUCAGUAUGUGUGUUAGUGGAAGCGUCUGGAAAGGCGCGCGAUACAGGGUGACAGCCCCGUACACAAAAAUGCACAUAUUGUGAGCUCGAUGAGUAGGGCGGGACACGUGGUAUCCUGUCUGAAUAUGGGGGGACCAUCCUCCAAGGCUAAAUACUCCUGACUGACCGAUAGUGAACCAGUACCGUGAGG